RNAcentral lists this ribosomal RNA (253 nucleotides) under uncultured bacterium. Its description in RNAcentral is "partial 16S ribosomal RNA". It matches the Rfam family "Bacterial small subunit ribosomal RNA", at positions 524 to 776 of the family's 1533-position model. The record is from RNAcentral.
UACGAAGGGGGCUAGCGUUGCUCGGAAUCACUGGGCGUAAAGGGUGCGUAGGCGGGUCUUUAAGUCAGGGGUGAAAUCCUGGAGCUCAACUCCAGAGCUGCCUUUGAUACUGAGGAUCUUGAGUUCGGGAGAGGUGAGUGGAACUGCGAGUGUAGAAGUGAAAUUCGUAGAUAUUCGCAAGAACACCAGUGGCGAAGGCGGCUCACUGGCCCGAUACUGACGCUGAGGCACGAAAGCGUGGGGAGCAAACAGG